This 767-nucleotide unclassified non-coding RNA is filed under the name Hevea brasiliensis (rubber tree). The record is from RNAcentral. Lineage: Eukaryota; Viridiplantae; Streptophyta; Magnoliopsida; Malpighiales; Euphorbiaceae.
CCGACGGGUACAAUAGCUGCCCCAUCCACUGCACUUGGCACACCUCCCACUUCAGAGACUGCAUUUUGCUGAGGCUGAACAGCAGCUCCAGGAGGACCUUCAAUAGCCAGUGGUCCCAAAAGAUCACCAAGAAGAUCUUCUGAGGGAGUUUGAGGAUCUAUCUUAGUCAAAGUCCCAUUUGGCUGGGUCAGUGCUUGGCCUUCUGAAGUAUGCUCCGCAUUGCCACUUGUGCUGGGUACCUUGACAAGUGUAAGUGGGCCAACAGCUGGAACAGUUGGUGGUGGUCCAUUAGCAGAGUGUUGGUCAGUCACAACCAAAGCAUUUGAAGUUUGUUGCUGGGCCCGCAACUUAAUAGCACUUUGAUCUGCACUAUCAACUUCAGCAACUUCAGCCUUUUUAAUCAACGCAGACUGACGCUCAGGGAACUUAGGCAUUUCAGCCAAUAUGUCCAUUACAGCUGCACCUUUCCUACUUAAUGCAAAAUACUCUACUGCUCGUUGUUGUAUUUCAGCAUCAAUGCAACUCUCAUAUUUGUUAAAUAUUGCCCAGAUUUGGUUUUGCAAGUUCUGGAUCAGGAGGUUGAGUGUGCAUCAAUAUCUUAGCAUAAGUUGAAAGAAGAAUUGGAAUGGUAGAUGUUGAUACAGUAGGAAGCUUCUCAUGUAUUAUGAUAAAUAUUUCCUUUGGACUACACCCAGGCCGCCUGGCCAAAAGGUGGCUGAACUCUCCAAGGAGGUAAGCACUGACCUUGACCAUUGUCUCAUGUAUAG